GUUCACUAGUUUGAGAAGUAUUUUACUAUGAAAAAGUAAUAAUUAAAACGAUGCUAGUUUUUUUGUUCAAAAACUAAUGUAUUAUGAGAAAUGAUUUAGAAUCUAAUGUUUAAUUGAGGUUUCUUUUGUAUUACUACUUUACAUAUUUAUUUAAUGUUAUUUUAAAAUAUGGUGUAAAGUGUAUAGUUUUAGUAUAAUUUUCCAUUUUCUUUCUCAAAAAAAAAAUUCCAUUUUCUUAAAUAGAAUAUAUAGUUGUAAUAUAUUAAUCUACUGUUUUGACCGAGUAAGUGGACGUUUAGGUCAUCAAAGCUGUUGGUUUUUUUCAUUGAUUUGACCAGAAUUAAACUGUCUACAUAAACGACCAAGUUUUAGAACACAAAACUAUAUAUUUAGCGAGUAUAUUGAACAUAAACCAUGUAAUCGGUGAACUGGUAAAAGAUAGUUUUCAUUACACGUUUUUUUGUUGACGCGUUCUAUUGAAAUGUAUAUAUGCCAAAUGUUGUAGUGUUCAGAAUAAAGGUAGGACACAUGUAACUGAAUGGGUGGAUAAGAGAGCUUAAUUUUUGUUUUUGAAAAAGCGAAGUUGAGAGGACAACGAAACUGUUCAAUGUAUCUUAGGUAUCAUCAACAUGGAAAGCGUUUUCCAUACAGACAAAGCUACAACGUGACGACACGUGGCCACGUGUCUAUGGUAUAAGUUAGGCGCCAUAUUUGUCAUUUGUCAAAAAGACGUUAUAACGAUUGACGAUAAACAAAACACGAGUUUGAUGUUGACUAAAGAUUUUUUGUUAAUUGUAAAAAAAUUUAUGACUGUUUUGUUUCACUAACACUACAGUACAAUUUAUUUACUGUAGUUACUUAACUUUUUGUUUUGGACUUUAAUUAUUUAACUUAGUUUCACUGGUUAUCCGUAUAUUCAGAUAGGAACUAUAAUAGUCGCAGUUUAAUUAAUUGUUCUUAAUGUAAUCUUUUGAAUUGGAUAGCGCAUGGUAUAUAAAUCUCUAGUAUUCUCAGAAUAUGCUGUUUUGAAACAAGCAGUAUAUAAUUGACUAAGCGUUUUUCUAUAUAGCAACACAAUUCCGCAUUUGGUUAAAAUCAGUUUUAAAACUUAUGUUGGAUCCAAAAAAAAUUCAAGAACUGAACCAUAUAAGCAUAACCCUUUUUGUCAAUAUAAUCUAACAUCUCCUUUUGCAGAUUUGUAGUGUCGAUGUUUAUCCAAAAUAGUUGAGGAAACUAUAAUUAGGAGCUAUGUUUCGUACGGGUAAACUGUGUAAUUUCCAUAAUAUAUUUCCAUCUAUUUAUUGAUUUCGAUCGUCAUUAUCAUUUAAGCAAAUUAUUAUUCAUAAAUAUAUAUGCAUCGCUAGUUUAUUUUCUAAAAUUAUAAUCUGAACCUAUACAUACAUCCUGGAGAUCAUAAAUCUGCGAGCAAAAUUUAAGCAUACAUAAACCAGGUUAAAAUUAUAAAUGAAUACUGUCGUUAUGGAACCCCUCUAGUGGAACUUAAAUAAUUUAUUCCACUCAAAUACAUUUCGUGCUAACCAUUUGAUGCUUUAUACGUACUUUUAUUUAUUUUGUUUUAUCAUCUAUAUCUCUCAUUUUCGAUUAGUGAUUUAUCAUUCAUCAUUUAUCAAAUGAUAACGAACUACUCAAAGAAUAAUUAUGAUUUUAUUAAUCGCUCUUGUUUAUUUUUAUUCUUUGAACGUGGAGAACGGGGGGUUUCGGCCCAAUUGGUUUACAAAGUAGACUGUAACAAAUGAUCGGUUCACCCCUUAAUAUUAUUCAGAAGGUAUUUUAAACUCGGUUCAGACAAUGUGGUACGUUUUUGGACUAGUCCACUAUGUAGCAAUAAGUGCGUUUUUCCCGGGACCGACCGAAUCAUCUGAUAGGAUUUAUCAAAAAAUUGUGGAAAAUAUAUUAAAUUUUGAGAAGGAGAAAAAAAAUUCCAGAAAGUAGUCAAUUCAAUGGAUUCAUAAUGAUGUAGAAAAUUAUAAAAUAGUUUAGUAUUAUUUAUAUAUCUAGUUUAGGAAAUAUACUUAAUAUAAAACAUAUGUAAUCGUAAUAAUAUUUUUUUGAGAGUUAGUAUACAAUUUAUGCAAUUUCAAAUUAAUAUUAAUCUUUAAAUGAUAUGAUAUGAUAGGUAUAAUAUUUUAAGAAUCGGUUUUAUUUCUUUUAAGCUAAGUCUAUAUACUUUUGAAUCUAAACCAAAUGCUUCCAAAUUUAAAUUUGAUCAAUCUCAAAAUUUAAGUUUGCCAAACUUCUCAAAAUAGUUGAAGAAAAUGGUAAAGCUUCGACAAAAGAUUUUGGUCUUUCAAAAUUUUGUACACACUUUGUUGCUUUAGUUAAAAUUGUUAGAUAUUUUAAUAAAUAAAUUUAUUUUGUUGAUUAUUCUAUUUCGAUAUCAUUUUUCAAACCUCAUGAUUGAAUAAUAGAAAUGUUUGAGUAAUAGAUUGAUAUUUCAUACUUUUAAAAACAGUGUCAUUUAUUUGCUCUCCCUUCUCUCUAAGCUUUCUCUUUUUCCGAUCUGUUUGUGUGUUACCGGCCGACGGUGUGGGCUUCCUCAGCCACCGUCGGUCCGGUCUUGUCUUCCAUUCUCUUUGCUUGCAUGUUUUCUUAAGUUUUAAGUCUCCAAUAGUUGGAUCUAGAUCUUGAAUUCCAGAUUCUUUUGAGGUUCGAGGUAUGUCGGUGAUGGAUCAGUCGGUGGCGUGCUUAUAUCAUGCUGUUGUUCCUCUGUUCCGACGUUUCCUCUUCUCUUCGGGUUUCUUCAGAUGGUCUUUUGGCCUUGUUUCGACUUCUGCGUUUCAAGGAUCCGUUAGAUCCUCUCGUUGUUCUCCCGUCUUCCCGAUCUGGCUGUGCUUUUCAUGUUUCACUUAUUGUAGAGGUUCUACCAUGGAUUGAAGAUGUGAUUAUCUUGGACGGAUUUGGCUCUUUACAUCCGGUCGUGGAAGUUGAUUGUUAAAAGCUGCGUGCUCAUCAUCUUCCUGGGUUAUGUCUACUGCUUCAUCCUCGGUGGCUUGUGAAGUAAUCUUCAAAGCAAUAUAAUGAGGUGUGGUUCUACCCAAAUAAAGUUCGACUGUGGAUGCGUUCUAUCUUAUCCUUCUUCAUUUGGUCAUUCCUCUUGCAUGGGUGUUUUUGCUCAUUUGAUCUAGAUUCAUGUAUUGUGUGUACUUGAUCUUUUGGUUUAUCUCUCUUGUCUCCGGAGAUUCAGUUCGCAUCUGCCGGCCUAUGACUCCAAAGGAAUGUUAUUCCUGUUGGCUUAGUUUCUAGAAGUUUUUAUAACUUGCUAGCAUAUGAUCACAACUUGUAAGUUUUUGUCUAAGUUUAUAAUCAAUGAAAUCCUUCAGUGUUAAAAAAAAAAAAAAAAAAACAGUGUCAUUUAAAUCAUUAUAUUAUAUCUCAAUUAUGAUUUUGAGUUUGCAGAGAAUACAUAAAAUAAUAUAAAAAUUAGAAUAAUAUAUAAAAAUUGUUAAAUAUACUUACUUUAUAAAGUAUAUUUGAAAUGAAUAUGUAUGUAAUCUUAAUUUUUAUUUUUAUAAGAGUCGAUAUAUAAUUCCUAAUCAUAAAUUUUGUUUUAUUCGAAAAGACUCGUUUAGAAAAAUCAUUGUACAUUGACAAAAAAAAACUCGUUGCAUUGGACUGCGAACUUGUGAUCUUAAGUUAUGAUAUAAUAUAAAGGGCCCACUUGAUUCGAUGACGACUUUUAUGAGUUUAUCAUACACAGGUAACACAUCAUAUAUUCAUAUGCUAAAGAUUUUUAGUUUUUUUUUUAAAUAAACAAAGUUAGAGAUUAUUACUUCAUAUAAUAAUUGAAGACUAUUCCUGGAAACUAAAAUAAAGAAAAAGGUGAGUGGGAUAUUCUGGCAAUCACUUUCUUACGCUAAUUUUUAUCAGCUUCUUUAAUUUAGCUAUAUUUAAAGGUAUGCACUUAAUAAAAUAUCUAUUUUGGAACUAUUCAGUUUGAUUUGGAUCGAUAAGAUUCGAGUCUACUUUAGACGCAGAAGGGGCUGAUCCGCUUUGUUUCAACUUUCUUGAGUCCGGUUUAGACACAGAAAGGGUUGAUCCGGUUUAUAAGAUUAAAAACAGUGGGAAUUUGAUGUGUUGUUCAGCCCAAAACCAUCUUCGGCCCACUAAAAAUAUUCCAGUUAACUAACAUCGACGCAAAAGUAGGUUUGCCAACCUCCACAGCAACAAACUUCUUUUACAGUCUCAUGACUCUCAUCACUGAGUUUUCUCCACAUAGAGAGGGAGAGGGUUCGAACUUCGACCGAGACUGUAUGGUUGAACCAAGAAUAUGAUUCUAGUCGACCUACUAUGGAUAAUUUGCAUAAUUUGUCUUUUCUUGGAAGAGAAACCUAGACUUCCUUCCUGCUGUAUUAGCUUUAAUGAAUCUUUCUCAAACCACUGGAUUAAAAAAGGGGUUCUAUAAUAUUUUAUAAAAGUAUAAUGAUUUUCAAAACAAACAAAGAGUUUCGGUAUUAGCUAGAAAGAGAGAAUGUUAUUUAUUUAUUUAUUUCUUGAGCUUACAAAGCAAUAACUUGCCACACACACAAAAAUAAUACAAAGAAAUAAUGCAGAUUAGAAAUCCUCAUUACAAAAAGUUGUUAUCUCUUCUGUUAACUAUAUAUGCAUGAAU
Long non-coding RNA from Brassica rapa (field mustard), 4630 nucleotides. RefSeq lists it as uncharacterized. The record is from RefSeq and is a predicted model, not a curated record. NCBI's taxonomy places the organism in Eukaryota, Viridiplantae, Streptophyta, Magnoliopsida, Brassicales, Brassicaceae.